Molecule: RNA transcript, 941 nt
Organism: Chroicocephalus ridibundus (black-headed gull)
Lineage: Eukaryota; Metazoa; Chordata; Aves; Charadriiformes; Laridae
Gene name: collagen alpha-1(I) chain-like
Exons: 2
Source: RefSeq, a predicted model, not a curated record
CGGCCUGCAGGGCCCGCCCCAGACCCCGCCGCCAUCUUGUGCGGGCGGCGGUCCGGGAGGGAAACUACAGCCCCCAGCGUGCCUUGCGCGGAGCGUGGGGCGCCGCGCAUGCGUAGCCGCGCAUGCGUAGCCGCGCAUGCGUACGGGGCGCCUUCCUGGUUGCUAUGGGAACGGGGCGCCGGCCUACCUCAGCCUCAGCGGCCUAGGCCGCAGGACUGGCGCAGGCCCGGGGACCGGGGAGCGGGGCAGGCCCAACGACCGAGACCGGGGCAGCCCCGGGAACCGGCGACGGAAGAUUGAAGCGGGCCAGGGAGCUAGCAGCCCACUGUGGCCACAGCGGGAGGAACGGCACAGAGCGGAAUUUCACGCAUCACCACUGCCUGCGAGGGCCUGUGUUGAAUGAAUCACGUCCCCCAGGUGGAAGAUGUUCAAGGGCCUGAAGCUCCUCCAUCAGGACAAGAUCUGGCUGAAGGCGGCGAUCUGGAGGGCUCAGGACCUGCAGUGUGAGUCGGCCCAGCGCCGUGGGCAGCCCCCCAACCCCAUCCCGCUUGUCCCCCUCCCGGGACGUGGCCUUGAUUACUGCCGAUUCCGGCUCUCCACCGCUCGAUUGCAGGCUUGGGAUGUAACUGAUUCAUUUUAUUGAUGAAGCAACAAACCGCUAGAGAGCUAAUAAAUUAAGUAAUCAAUAACCUAAAUAAUUAACAAAUGCAUCCUAUUAUUAUUAAUUUAUGAUUAAAUGACUCUGCACACAGCAAAGCGACUAAUUACGGCUCUUAAUCUUGUGAAUCCCACAGGACUGCUGUUGAACGACAGCUCUAUCGCUCUUCCCUCCCCACUGUUUGGGGGGGAAAGGGAGUCCCCAGGGCCUGGGGCGGGGGGAGGACUGUGCCUGCCAGACCUGGCUCUGCAGAUCGAUAGCCCUCCAAUCCGCAGCCAUCUGC